Molecule: transfer RNA, 75 nt
Filed under: Podarcis lilfordi (Lilford's wall lizard)
Lineage: Eukaryota; Metazoa; Chordata; Lepidosauria; Squamata; Lacertidae
Description: tRNA.Lys
Rfam family: tRNA (bases 9-66)
About the family: Transfer RNA (tRNA) molecules are approximately 80 nucleotides in length. Their secondary structure includes four short double-helical elements and three loops (D, anti-codon, and T loops).
Source: RNAcentral
GGUAAGGAUAGCUCAGUUGGUAGAGCAUGAGACUCUUAAUCUCUAGGUUGUGGGUUCGAGUCCCAUGUUGGGUCA